GUGAAUCAUCAAAUCUUUGAACGCAAAUUGCACUCUCCGGUUUUCCGGGAGAGUAUGCCUGUUUGAGGGUCUGUUUAAAAAAUAAUCGAGGCCGCUGCUGUGGUGACGCUUCGGAAUUGGGUCAUCUUCCACCUUUCGGGGUUGUAAGCGACUUAAAAUUUUUCUUACGUUUUCUACGAACUGUCCAAAAAUUUUU
This 196-nucleotide unclassified non-coding RNA is filed under the name Glomus sp. RNAcentral describes it as "partial contains 5.8S ribosomal RNA and internal transcribed spacer 2". The stretch from base 1 to 72 matches the Rfam family "5.8S ribosomal RNA", at positions 84 to 154 of the family's 154-position model. The record is from RNAcentral. Lineage: Eukaryota; Fungi; Glomeromycota; Glomeromycetes; Glomerales; Glomeraceae.